Molecule: ribosomal RNA, 468 nt
Filed under: uncultured bacterium
Lineage: Bacteria
Description: partial 16S ribosomal RNA
Rfam family: Bacterial small subunit ribosomal RNA
Source: RNAcentral
GACGAACGCUGGCGGCGUGCUUAACACAUGCAAGUCGAACGGAAAGGCCCUGCUUUUGUGGGGUGCUCGAGUGGCGAACGGGUGAGUAACACGUGUGUAACCUGCCCUUGACUUUGGGAUAACUUCAGGAAACUGGGGCUAAUACCGGAUAGGAGAUCCUGCUCCAUGGUGGGGGUUGGAAAGUUUCGGCGGUUGGGGAUGGACUCGCGGCUUAUCAGUUUGUUGGUGGGGUAGUGGCUUACCAAGGCUUUGACGGGUAGCCGGCCUGGGAGGGUGACCGGCCACAUUGGGACUGAGAUACGGCCCAGACUGCUACGGGAGGCAGCAGUGGGGAAUAUUGCACAAUGGGCGGAAGCCUGAUGCAGCAACGCCGCGUGCGGGAUGACGGCCUUCGGGUUGUAAAACGCUUUCGCCUGUGACGAAGCGUGAGUGACGGUAAUGGGUAAAGAAGCACCGGCUAACUACGUG